CAGUAGCGUAUAUUAACGUUGUUGCAGUUAAAGAGCUCGUAGUUGGAUUUCUGGUUUGGAUCACCCGUUCCGCCGGCGAUAGCCGUGUGAGUAACGAAGGUGCUAUCCGGCCAUCCGCUCAUCUCGUCGCCUGUACCCUUAACUGGGCCGCAGGAUGUACGGUUGAGCCAUUUACUUUGAAGAAAUUAGAGUGUUUAAAGCAGGCAAUUGCUGUGAAUACAUUAGCAUGGAAUAAUAAUAUAGGGCUUUUGUUCUAUUUUGUUGGUUUCCGGAACGGAAGUAAUGAUUGAUAGGGACAGUUGGGGGUGCUAGUAUUCCGCGGCCAGAGGUGAAAUUCUUGGAUUCGCGGAAGACUAACUUAUGCGAAAGCAUUCACCAAGGAUGUCUUCUUUAA
This 394-nucleotide ribosomal RNA is filed under the name uncultured eukaryote. RNAcentral describes it as "partial 18S ribosomal RNA". It matches the Rfam family "Eukaryotic small subunit ribosomal RNA", at positions 592 to 976 of the family's 1831-position model. The record is from RNAcentral.